GAGCACGUAGGUGGGUUUGUAAGUCAGAUGUGAAAGCCUUCUGUUCAACGGAAGAAUUGCAUCUGAAACUGCGAGUCUUGAGUGUAGGAGGGGAGAAUGGAACUUCUGGUGGAGCGGUGAAAUGCGUAGAUAUCAGAAGGAACGCCGGCGGCGAAAGCGAUUCUCCGGCCUAUUAUUGACACUCAGUGUGCGAAAGCUAGGGGAGCAAACGGGAUUAGAUACCCCGGUAGUCCUAGCCGUAAACGAUGGGCACUAAGUAGAGGGGUUUU
This 269-nucleotide ribosomal RNA is filed under the name uncultured Planctomycetales bacterium. Its description in RNAcentral is "partial 16S ribosomal RNA". It matches the Rfam family "Bacterial small subunit ribosomal RNA", at positions 565 to 832 of the family's 1533-position model. The record is from RNAcentral. Lineage: Bacteria; Pseudomonadati; Planctomycetota; Planctomycetia; Planctomycetales.